RNAcentral lists this ribosomal RNA (478 nucleotides) under Diutina rugosa. RNAcentral describes it as "eukaryotic LSU rRNA". It matches the Rfam family "Eukaryotic large subunit ribosomal RNA", at positions 49 to 493 of the family's 3401-position model. The record is from RNAcentral. Lineage: Eukaryota; Fungi; Ascomycota; Pichiomycetes; Serinales; Debaryomycetaceae.
AGCGGAGGAAAAGAAACCAACCGGGAUUGCCUCAGUAACGGCGAGUGAAGCGGCAACAGCUCAAAUUUGAAAGCCCGCGGGCGUUGUAAUUUGCAGGCGGAUGUUUUGGGGCGGGCGCUGUCUACGUUCCUUGGAACAGGACGCCGCAGAGGGUGAGAGCCCCGUGCGAUGGCGCCUCUAACCGCGUAAAACUCCGCCGACGAGUCGAGUUGUUUGGGAAUGCAGCUCCAAGUGGGUGGUAAAUUCCAUCUAAAGCUAAAUACUGGCGAGAGACCGAUAGCGAACAAGUACAGUGAUGGAAAGAUGAAAAGCACUUUGAAAAGAGAGUGAAACAGCACGUGAAAUUGUUGAAAGGGAAGGGUAUGCGAUUAGCGGCCAGCAGGAGGUGCCUUCUCGUGAAAAGGCCGUGCACCGUCUUCGGACACCGUGCGCGGAGAUGGCGAGGGGGCGCCUGAGGUCUGCGAACUCGAGUGCUGCG